This 1001-nucleotide ribosomal RNA is filed under the name uncultured bacterium. RNAcentral's name for it is "bacterial SSU rRNA". It matches the Rfam family "Bacterial small subunit ribosomal RNA", at positions 504 to 1503 of the family's 1533-position model. The record is from RNAcentral.
UGUGCCAGCAGCCGCGGUAAUACGGGGGGUGCAAGCGUUAAUCGGAAUUACUGGGCGUAAAGCGCACGCAGGCGGUUGAUUAAGUUAGAUGUGAGAUCCCCGGGCUUAACCUGGGAAUGGCAUCUAAAACUGGUCAGCUAGAGUCUUGUAGAGGGGGGUAGAAUUCCAUGUGUAGCGGUGAAAUGCGUAGAGAUGUGGAGGAAUACCGGUGGCGAAGGCGGCCCCCUGGACAAAGACUGACGCUCAGGUGCGAAAGCGUGGGGAGCAAACAGGAUUAGAUAGCUUGGUCGUCCACGCUGUAAACGAUGUCGAUUUGGAGGUUGUUCCCUUGAGGAGUGGCUUCCGGAGCUAACGCGUUAAAUCGACCGCCUGGGGAGUACGGCCGCAAGGUUAAAACUCAAAUGAAUUGACGGGGGCCCGCACAAGCGGUGGAGCAUGUGGUUUAAUUCGAUGCAACGCGAAGAACCUUACCUACUCUUGACAUCCAGAGAAUUUAGCAGAGAUGCUUUAGUGCCUUCGGGAACUCUGAGACAGGUGCUGCAUGGCUGUCGUCAGCUCGUGUUGUGAAAUGUUGGGUUAAGUCCCGCAACGAGCGCAACCCUUAUCCUUUGUUGCCAGCACGUCAUGGUGGGAACUCAAGGGAGACUGCCGGUGAUAAACCGGAGGAAGGUGGGGAUGACGUCAAGUCAUCAUGGCCCGUUACGAGUAGGGCUACACACGUGCUACAAGGGCGCAUACAAAGAGAAGCGAACUCGCGAGAGCCAGCGGAACUCAUAAAGUGCGUCGUAGUCCGGAUUGGAGUCUGCAACUCGACUCCAUGAAGUCGGAAUCGCUAGUAAUCGUAGAUCAGAAUGCUACGGUGAAUACGUUCCCGGGCCUUGUACACACCGCCCGUCACACCAUGGGAGUGGGUUGCAAAAGAAGUAGGUAGCUUAACCUUCGGGGGGGCGCUUACCACUUUGUGAUUCAUGACUGGGGUGAAGUCGUAACAAGGUAACCGA